GACGAACGCUGGCGGCGUGCUUAACACAUGCAAGUCGAGCGGUAAGGCCCUUUCGGGGGUACACGAGCGGCGAACGGGUGAGUAACACGUGGGUGACCUGCCCUCAGCUCUGGGAUAAGCCCGGGAAACUGGGUCUAAUACUGGAUAUGACUCCAUGACGCAUGUUGUGGGGUGGAAAGCCUUGUGCGGCUGGGGAUGGGCCCGCGGCCUAUCAGCUUGUUGGUGGGGUGAUGGCCUACCAAGGCGACGACGGGUAGCCGGCCUGAGAGGGCGACCGGCCACACUGGGACUGAGACACGGCCCAGACUCCUACGGGAGGCAGCAGUGGGGAAUCUUGCGCAAUGGGCGAAAGCCUGACGCAGCGACGCCGCGUGAGGGAUGACGGCCUCGG
This 391-nucleotide ribosomal RNA is filed under the name uncultured bacterium. RNAcentral's name for it is "bacterial SSU rRNA". It matches the Rfam family "Bacterial small subunit ribosomal RNA", at positions 28 to 420 of the family's 1533-position model. The record is from RNAcentral.